Molecule: non-coding RNA, 21 nt
Filed under: Caenorhabditis elegans
Lineage: Eukaryota; Metazoa; Nematoda; Chromadorea; Rhabditida; Rhabditidae
Source: RNAcentral
UUGUCAGUUUGUUUCCAGGAA